UAUAAAUUAUUUUAUAAGUUGAAUAAUUUUGGUGUUUCUACAAAAUUAUUAGGAGCUGCAUAAGAAAUUCCCAUGAGAUCGAUCACUACCGAUCCUUCAAUCAUUACACUAAUUGAUAUCCAAAAUGGCAUUUCGUUUAGUGGUAAGUGGUGAUGACACUGAAGUUUUCAUCAAUGAUAGUAGUGAAACAAGUGAGUUAACGAGUGCUUGUCGUCAUAAAUUUAAAAUAUAACUCAGAUCAGCACAAAAUAUUAUUGAACUGCUACAAGAAGAGAUAAACACUGUACCCGCCAGAGGAGAUACUGUCCAACAUCAAGACUGAGCCUGAUGACAGCGAACUGGAGCUACAGAUAGCCCUCAAGAAAGCACCGAGAAUGAAGCUGCAGGAGGCUGUUACAGAAUCAAAGAACAAUGUAGAAAAGGUGGCAGAGUCAGUACUGGAGAGAAACACGGAAGGUGGUUCCAUUGUGCUGACUGUUACGGCAGAAUUCUGCCGUACGUUGGGUGACAUCCCCACUUAUGGUCUGGCUGGCAACAGGGAUGAGGACGCUCAGGAAUACUUGUGAGUGCAAUAUAACCAUCCACAGAUAAAUGUACACUUGG
Cryptotermes secundus is the source of this 603-nucleotide RNA transcript. It is a transcript of the gene named U4/U6.U5 tri-snRNP-associated protein 1-like, with no coding region annotated. NCBI's taxonomy places the organism in Eukaryota, Metazoa, Arthropoda, Insecta, Blattodea, Kalotermitidae. The transcript is spliced from 3 exons. The record is from RefSeq and is a predicted model, not a curated record.